Molecule: small nuclear RNA, 288 nt
Filed under: Ursus maritimus (polar bear)
Lineage: Eukaryota; Metazoa; Chordata; Mammalia; Carnivora; Ursidae
Description: 7SK RNA (ENSUMAG00000007520.1)
Rfam family: 7SK RNA
About the family: 7SK was discovered as an abundant small nuclear RNA in the mid-70s but a possible function has only recently been suggested. Two independent studies have found that 7SK RNA binds the CDK9/cyclin T complex (known as elongation factor P-TEFb).
Source: RNAcentral
GGAUGAGAGGGCAAGCUGUCCUGACAUGUCACCCACAGAUCCUCAGGUUUGCUCAGGUGAUCUGGCUGGCUGGCUGGCAGCCCCAUCCCUCAUGGCCUCUGCUGCUCUCUCUCAAAGUUGUACAUAUAUUGGAAUUGGAAUACAAUGAUACUUCCAGGAAGCGGAGAGCCAUUCUUUUGUCAAGAAUUUACUAGUAGCUGACUAGAAUAUUUCAUUUAACCUCAAGAAAUUACAACAAUGCAUGUUACACCAUACACAAAAAUUAACUCAAAAUAGAUCACAGACCUA